This 472-nucleotide long non-coding RNA is filed under the name Phascolarctos cinereus (koala). RNAcentral describes it as "lncRNA (ENSPCIG00000026815.2)". The record is from RNAcentral. Lineage: Eukaryota; Metazoa; Chordata; Mammalia; Diprotodontia; Phascolarctidae.
CUGGAAUCCUAGGAGGGUGGAGAACCUCCCAGCCAUUUAACAGCCUGAGGACAUGGUCUAGCUUAGAGGGAAAAGGCAGCUCCUGCCUCUGGCUCCUGGGAGCUCCCAAGCCUCUGUCAAGCUGAUGAAGAUGAAAUUCUCAAGUACCAAAAAUCACCCUCAAAAUGGGCGGGCCUCGAAUGUCACAAUGCCCUCAGGAAGGAGGCCUGGUCCGGGCAACCGCUCAGCAAACAAGCCAGCACCGACGGGAUGGCAGAAGGGGCCACUUUGCAGGAGCUGGGGGGUAAGGGCAGAAGGGGCAGAGGUGGAAGGGUCAGGCCACCAGCAAAGGGCUCCUGGACAAGGCUGGGGACUCGGAGCUGCGGUGAACUGGGGUACCCUGCUAACACUAGAAGAAAGUAGCAGCUGCCGAUCUUGCCCAGGAAGUCCCAUGUUCAUCCAUUCUCCCAAGGAAAUGCAUUCUACAAUUUGA